UACGGAGGGUGCAAGCGUUAUCCGGAAUCAUUGGGUUUAAAGGGUCCGUAGGCGGAUUGAUAAGUCAGGGGUGAAAUCCAACAGCUUAACUGUUGAACUGCCCUUGAUACUGUUAGUCUUGAGUUAUAUGGAAGUAGAUAGAAUAUGUAGUGUAGCGGUGAAAUGCUUAGAGAUUACAUAGAAUACCGAUUGCGAAGGCAGUCUACUACGUAUAUACUGACGCUCAUGGACGAAAGCGUGGGGAGCGAACAGG
This 253-nucleotide ribosomal RNA is filed under the name uncultured bacterium. Its description in RNAcentral is "partial 16S ribosomal RNA". It matches the Rfam family "Bacterial small subunit ribosomal RNA", at positions 524 to 776 of the family's 1533-position model. The record is from RNAcentral.